This 1302-nucleotide long non-coding RNA is filed under the name Bemisia tabaci. RNAcentral describes it as "lncRNA ENSSSA3NGG000678". The record is from RNAcentral. Lineage: Eukaryota; Metazoa; Arthropoda; Insecta; Hemiptera; Aleyrodidae.
AGCUUUUUCUUUCAGAUUUCCCACUCAGGUUGAGUCAAAACGAACAGAGUAUUUUGUUGGUAUUGGGUGCUUGAAUAGAGGUAUACGAAUCAUACCUCUGUUUCAUUUAUCUUGGUCUCUACUAUCUUUCCUCACAAUAAAAUCACAUUGCUCGAGUUUAUCAGACCAGCAGCUGCAGUGCACUGUUUCCUCAAUACUGAGUAUUCAACACAUUUCCUCUUGGUGAGGGAACUCCCUUGUCAGAGCAAAAGGGACUGUAGCAGCCAAUCUUAAGGUAGUGUCAGAAACUGAUCGUGCUUUACUUGCCGCCAGCGACUGCUUGCUCAAGUCGUAGGCUGAGCUUCACAAAUUCUCCCAGCUUGGUAGCAGAAAAUUCAGGAGGCUGCGCUGCACUGAGGAUGGGUCCAAUUAGACCCAAAAUGCGUCUGCAGUUGCCUUCCUGCAUAGUUGUAACUAGUGUUGCACCAAACAGAGUAUCUUUUUGAGGGAAAAUUGUGCUCAAAUGAACUUCUUCCCUCAGUAUUGAGAUUUCCAGUUUUCUGGAUUUUUAACACACAUUGGCUAAAAAAUUCCCACUUAAAAUCUAAAGGUGAGUGAACGGGGAUCCAAGAGACAGACCAGACCUCCUCUUCUAGCUGAGAGAGCAGUUAGCAUUUAUAAAUUUGAUGAGAAUUUUGAAGAAAACAUUUACCUGAUGCUGCGGAGAUUGCUGCGGCUGCUGAUGUUGCGGUGAUUGAUGCGGCUGUUGAUGCUGCGGUGACUGAUGCGACUGAUGUUGAGGGGAUGGUGGAGGGUACUGGCCGGGAGGCGGUGACUGCGGAGCAGGUGAGGAGUUUUGAGGGGGCCCUGGCCCAGGCCCAGAGAUAGGACUCGGUGGAUGUUGUUGUUGUGUAGGCCAGGACCGCUGCUCUCCUGGCCCUAACCCAAAAGCCCCGCUGGAGGACAUAUUUGACGCAGGAGGAGUCAGUGGAGGUAGAUAUUGCUGGCCAGGCGGAGAAGCUCGCUGAAGAGUACCUACUCCCGACGGCUGCUGCGUUCCUUGCUGGCCUGUUUGCUGCUGUUGCUGCGGCGAAGGUCCACCUCUUCCCGGCCCAUUCUGGAACAUGCAAAACAAAUAGAGUGAGUUUUAUUCCUAUCUACUUAUCACCUUACUUCCAGUUUACAUUGGAAAGGUCAAAUGUCAGAUCAAGAUCCACUCUUUACACCUGUCAAAUAACCAGCUCAUAAAAAAAUUUGACUCCCUCAAACCUGUAUAAUAUUGGUAUGUUAUUGCAUACAUGGUUUAACGAUGGACAUUUUUCA